This 445-nucleotide ribosomal RNA is filed under the name uncultured bacterium. RNAcentral describes it as "partial 16S ribosomal RNA". It matches the Rfam family "Bacterial small subunit ribosomal RNA", at positions 354 to 796 of the family's 1533-position model. The record is from RNAcentral.
GUGAGGAAUAUUGGUCAAUGGGCGGGAGCCUGAACCAGCCAAGUCGCGUGAAGGAAGAAGGAUCUAUGGUUCGUAAACUUCUUUUGCAGGGGAAUAAAGUGCAGGACGUGUCCUGUUUUGUAUGUACCCUGAGAAUAAGGAUCGACUAACUCCGUGCCAGCAGCCGCGGUAAUACGGAGGAUCCGAGCGUUAUCCGGAUUUAUUGGGUUUAAAGGGUGCGUAGGUGGUUUGAUAAGUCAGCGGUGAAAGUUUGCAGCUUAACUGUAAAAAUGCCGUUGAAACUGUCGGACUUGAGUGUAAAUGAGGUAGGCGGAAUGCGUGGUGUAGCGGUGAAAUGCAUAGAUAUCACGCAGAACUCCGAUUGCGAAGGCAGCUUACUAAGCUACAACUGACACUGAAGCACGAAAGCGUGGGGAUCAAACAGGAUUAGAUACCCCUGUAGUCC